AGCGUACACGGUGGAUGCCCUGGCAGUCAGAGGCGAUGAAGGACGUGCUAAUCUGCGAUAAGCGUCGGUAAGGUGAUAUGAACCGUUAUAACCGGCGAUUUCCGAAUGGGGAAACCCAGUGUGAUUCGUCACACUAUCAUUAACUGAAUCCAUAGGUUAAUGAGGCGAACCGGGGGAACUGAAACAUCUAAGUACCCCGAGGAAAAGAAAUCAACCGAGAUUCCCCCAGUAGCGGCGAGCGAACGGGGAGCAGCCCAGAGCCUGAAUCAGUGUGUGUGUUAGUGGAAGCGUCUGGAAAGGCGUGCGAUACAGGGUGACAGCCCCGUACACAAAAAUGCACAUAUUGUGAGCUCGAUGAGUAGGGCGGGACACGUGGUAUCCUGUCUGAAUAUGGGGGGACCAUCCUCCAAGGCUAAAUACUCCUGACUGACCGAUAGUGAACCAGUACCGUGAGGGAAAGGCGAAAAGAACCCCGGCGAGGGGAGUGAAAAAGAACCUGAAACCGUGUACGUACAAGCAGUGGGAGCACGCUUAGGCGUGUGACUGCGUACCUUUUGUAUAAUGGGUCAGCGACUUAUAUUCUGUAGCAAGGUUAACCGAAUAGGGGAGCCGAAGGGAAACCGAGUCUUAACUGGGCGUUAAGUUGCAGGGUAUAGACCCGAAACCCGGUGAUCUAGCCAUGGGCAGGUUGAAGGUUGGGUAACACUAACUGGAGGACCGAACCGACUAAUGUUGAAAAAUUAGCGGAUGACUUGUGGCUGGGGGUGAAAGGCCAAUCAAACCGGGAGAUAGCUGGUUCUCCCCGAAAGCUAUUUAGGUAGCGCCUCGUGAAUUCAUCUCCGGGGGUAGAGCACUGUUUCGGCAAGGGGGUCAUCCCGACUUACCAACCCGAUGCAAACUGCGAAUACCGGAGAAUGUUAUCACGGGAGACACACGGCGGGUGCUAACGUCCGUCGUGAAGAGGGAAACAACCCAGACCGCCAGCUAAGGUCCCAAAGUCAUGGUUAAGUGGGAAACGAUGUGGGAAGGCCCAGACAGCCAGGAUGUUGGCUUAGAAGCAGCCAUCAUUUAAAGAAAGCGUAAUAGCUCACUGGUCGAGUCGGCCUGCGCGGAAGAUGUAACGGGGCUAAACCAUGCACCGAAGCUGCGGCAGCGACGCUUAUGCGUUGUUGGGUAGGGGAGCGUUCUGUAAGCCUGCGAAGGUGUGCUGUGAGGCAUGCUGGAGGUAUCAGAAGUGCGAAUGCUGACAUAAGUAACGAUAAAGCGGGUGAAAAGCCCGCUCGCCGGAAGACCAAGGGUUCCUGUCCAACGUUAAUCGGGGCAGGGUGAGUCGACCCCUAAGGCGAGGCCGAAAGGCGUAGUCGAUGGGAAACAGGUUAAUAUUCCUGUACUUGGUGUUACUGCGAAGGGGGGACGGAGAAGGCUAUGUUGUCCGGGCGACGGUUGUCCCGGUUUAAGCGUGUAGGCUGGUUUUCCAGGCAAAUCCGGAAAAUCAAGGCUGAGGCGUGAUGACGAGGCACUACGGUGCUGAAGCAACAAAUGCCCUGCUUCCAGGAAAAGCCUCUAAGCAUCAGGUAACAUCAAAUCGUACCCCAAACCGACACAGGUGGUCAGGUAGAGAAUACCAAGGCGCUUGAGAGAACUCGGGUGAAGGAACUAGGCAAAAUGGUGCCGUAACUUCGGGAGAAGGCACGCUGAUAUGUAGGUGAAGUCCCUCGCGGAUGGAGCUGAAAUCAGUCGAAGAUACCAGCUGGCUGCAACUGUUUAUUAAAAACACAGCACUGUGCAAACACGAAAGUGGACGUAUACGGUGUGACGCCUGCCCGGUGCCGGAAGGUUAAUUGAUGGGGUUAGCGCAAGCGAAGCUCUUGAUCGAAGCCCCGGUAAACGGCGGCCGUAACUAUAACGGUCCUAAGGUAGCGAAAUUCCUUGUCGGGUAAGUUCCGACCUGCACGAAUGGCGUAAUGAUGGCCAGGCUGUCUCCACCCGAGACUCAGUGAAAUUGAACUCGCUGUGAAGAUGCAGUGUACCCGCGGCAAGACGGAAAGACCCCGUGAACCUUUACUAUAGCUUGACACUGAACAUUGAGCCUUGAUGUGUAGGAUAGGUGGGAGGCUUUGAAGUGUGGACGCCAGUCUGCAUGGAGCCGACCUUGAAAUACCACCCUUUAAUGUUUGAUGUUCUAACGUUGACCCGUUAUCCGGGUUGCGGACAGUGUCUGGUGGGUAGUUUGACUGGGGCGGUCUCCUCCUAAAGAGUAACGGAGGAGCACGAAGGUUGGCUAAUCCUGGUCGGACAUCAGGAGGUUAGUGCAAUGGCAUAAGCCAGCUUGACUGCGAGCGUGACGGCGCGAGCAGGUGCGAAAGCAGGUCAUAGUGAUCCGGUGGUUCUGAAUGGAAGGGCCAUCGCUCAACGGAUAAAAGGUACUCCGGGGAUAACAGGCUGAUACCGCCCAAGAGUUCAUAUCGACGGCGGUGUUUGGCACCUCGAUGUCGGCUCAUCACAUCCUGGGGCUGAAGUAGGUCCCAAGGGUAUGGCUGUUCGCCAUUUAAAGUGGUACGCGAGCUGGGUUUAGAACGUCGUGAGACAGUUCGGUCCCUAUCUGCCGUGGGCGCUGGAGAAUUGAGGGGGGCUGCUCCUAGUACGAGAGGACCGGAGUGGACGCAUCACUGGUGUUCGGGUUGUCAUGCCAAUGGCACUGCCCGGUAGCUAAAUGCGGAAGAGAUAAGUGCUGAAAGCAUCUAAGCACGAAACUUGCCCCGAGAUGAGUUCUCCCUGACUCUUUU
RNAcentral lists this ribosomal RNA (2786 nucleotides) under Escherichia coli. RNAcentral describes it as "bacterial LSU rRNA". It matches the Rfam family "Bacterial large subunit ribosomal RNA". The record is from RNAcentral. Lineage: Bacteria; Pseudomonadati; Pseudomonadota; Gammaproteobacteria; Enterobacterales; Enterobacteriaceae.